This 88-nucleotide transfer RNA is filed under the name Vermamoeba vermiformis. Its description in RNAcentral is "tRNA-Ser". It matches the Rfam family "tRNA". Rfam says of the family: Transfer RNA (tRNA) molecules are approximately 80 nucleotides in length. Lineage: Eukaryota; Tubulinea; Echinamoebida; Vermamoebidae. The record is from RNAcentral. RNAcentral also lists the same sequence under 1 other name.
GGGCAGAUGGCUGAGUGGUUUAAAGCGCUAUUCUUGAAAAUUAGUUCAGGCCAAAAACCUGACACGGGUUCAAAUCCCGUUCUGCCCU